GACGAACGCUGGCGGCGUGCCUAAUACAUGCAAGUCGAGCGCAGAGGGGUGGUACUUGUACCAACUGGGUGAGCAGCGAACGGGUGAGUAACGCGUGGGGAAUCUGCCUUUGAGCGGGGGACAACAUUGGGAAACGAAUGCUAAUACCGCAUAAAAUCUUUAAACACAAGGUUUAAGUGUGAAAGAUGGAAUUGCAGCACUCAAAGAUGAUCUCGCGGUGGAUUAGCUAGGUGGGGAGGUAAAGGCUCACCCAGGGGAUGAUAGAUAGACGGCCUGAGAGGGUGGUUCGCCACCUUGGGACUGGGACCCGGCCCAAGCCCCCACGGGAAGCAGCAGUAGGGAAUCUUCGGCAAAUGGCGAAAGUCUUGCCGGGCAACGCCGCGUGAGGGAAGAAGGGUUUCGGGUCGGAAAUCUCUGUUUGUAGGGAAGAACGUUGGUGAGAGUGGAAAGCGCAUCAAGUGACGGUAACUACCCAGAAAGCCACGGCUAACUACGUG
This 497-nucleotide ribosomal RNA is filed under the name uncultured bacterium. RNAcentral's name for it is "partial 16S ribosomal RNA". It matches the Rfam family "Bacterial small subunit ribosomal RNA", at positions 28 to 507 of the family's 1533-position model. The record is from RNAcentral.